AUUGAACGCUGGCGGCAGGCCUAACACAUGCAAGUCGAGCGGAUGAAGGGAGCUUGCUCCUGGAUUCAGCGGCGGACGGGUGAGUAAUGCCUAGGAAUCUGCCUGGUAGUGGGGGAUAACGUCCGGAAGCGGGCGCUAAUACCGCAUACGUCCUGAGGGAGAAAGUGGGGGAUCUUCGGACCUCACGCUAUCAGAUGAGCCUAGGUCGGAUUAGCUAGUUGGUGGGGUAAAGGCCUACCAAGGCGACGAUCCGUAACUGGUCUGAGAGGAUGAUCAGUCACACUGGAACUGAGACACGGUCCAGACUCCUACGGGAGGCAGCAGUGGGGAAUAUUGGACAAUGGGCGAAAGCCUGCUCCAGCCAUGCCGCGUGUGUGAAGAAGGUCUUCGGAUUGUAAAGCACUUUAAGUUGGGAGGAAGGGCAGUAAGUUAAUACCUUGCUGUUUUGACGUUACCAACAGAAUAAGCACCGGCUAACUUCGUG
RNAcentral lists this ribosomal RNA (484 nucleotides) under uncultured bacterium. RNAcentral describes it as "partial 16S ribosomal RNA". It matches the Rfam family "Bacterial small subunit ribosomal RNA", at positions 30 to 507 of the family's 1533-position model. The record is from RNAcentral.